AUAAUAACUCAAAUUAAUCGUAUUUAAGAUUACCGAAGUACUUGGAUAAGGAAACUUGGACUCUUCAAAAGGAAUCGGUAACAAUGAUUCUUGAUUGGAAUAAUUCUUCAGAAUGGUAUACUGGAUUAAUUGGUUCAGGAGCCUGUUAAUUUUCUUGUUUAUUAUUAAAGAUUUCAACGUCCAGCUUCAAAAAUACAUUCAAUUAUUUAACACACGGAUUUUCGUCCAAUUCUUCAUCAAAACUCCCAUAUGAUGGAUGGUUUUCGUUCUUGACAUGCUAAGAUUAUCGUUUUCAAUCGUUUUAACCGGACAAACAUGAAUUACAAUAAGAAAUUAAUGAAAAAUGAAAUUUGAGGUUAUGUUGCUGUCAAAAUUCUACAAAAUUACUUCGUAUUAACUUUGGAUGGAUUAAAUACAAUAAAAAACAUAAACGGCCAACAAUACAUAAAGAAGAUAUUUACAACAUUUUAAAACUCUAUUACAUUAUUAAAAAUGAGGCUUAAGCAUAAAUAAAU
RNAcentral lists this long non-coding RNA (515 nucleotides) under Onthophagus taurus. RNAcentral describes it as "uncharacterized LOC111419010, transcript variant X1". Lineage: Eukaryota; Metazoa; Arthropoda; Insecta; Coleoptera; Scarabaeidae. The record is from RNAcentral.